Molecule: long non-coding RNA, 1485 nt
Organism: Ruditapes philippinarum (Manila clam)
Lineage: Eukaryota; Metazoa; Mollusca; Bivalvia; Venerida; Veneridae
Exons: 3
Source: RefSeq, a predicted model, not a curated record
UUGAAUUUCAAAACGUGUCGAUAACAUUUAUACUGACAAGGCACACAAUUGAACCGUUUAUAAACAUAACAUAUUUAUGAUCAUUUAGAGUCGUUUUGGCCUCAAAUAUUAAUACGGAGAAGGAAUAGAUUGGGGACAUCCAAAGAGAAAUUGGCCGAACAUUAUCGACUAGACAUAUAGCAAGAAGGCUACUGAUUCAGUCCGACAAUUCUUAGGAACCACGGAAAAUAACAUAUUUAAUAAUUUGAUAAUAGGGAUGGGAAUCUGUCUCAGUUUAAUACUAAAUUAUGUAUUGCGUGGGUAUAUUAAUAUUUGUGUCCUUUGUGUGUAUAAAAAAUAUGUUGCAGGAAAUGCCUUAAGGUUUAAAACUCAGCCUCCAUUAGAGACAGUUUGAAACACGUGCUCAUACAAAACGACAUAUUAUUUUUUUAACAAUUUAAAAUGAUUUCUAAAUUGUUGAAAUUUACAAUUUACAAAAUAAUGUCAUUUAAAUCCUAAGCAUAAUGAAAUUCCUAUUAUUAGUGCAAUUCUUAAAAUAUUUCAAAAAUAUAAAUUUGUUUUUGUUCUAAAACUUUAAAAAUUUCAGGUAAAGCUAUCCAAAUUGUCAGAUCAUUUUUAAAUUUUGGACCAGUAUCCCCAAAGAAUGUACAAUUUUUUGUUCCAAUACAAACGAAGACCACAAUGGAUUUCUCUUCUUCUGGAAUCCAACGAAUAUGCACCGAUAUCUCAUUUAAAAGUAUAAUUUGCUAUGAUAUUGGGAAACUAUCCGAGAAGUAUCCAGUCGCUGUGGUGUGCCAAAUAUCUUCAAGAUUGGAAGUAGACAUUGACUUAGCAAUUGACGGUGUCAAGUGUGAAAAGUUCGUUGUUCUUCUUCUCCACACUGGCGUAGAAAUCCCUGGGACACCGACAGGUACAAAACUUGAAAACAAUGAAAAGUAUCAUAAUAUUGAGUUCAUUGACGUCGCUUUCAACAUUCACUCAAAUUUGUACAAAUGUAAGACAAAUGACUCUGCAAAAUGUCGAUUGCAGAAUUACUUUAAAAGCUUCUACAUGGAAUCGGAACACAGAUGAAUAAGCGAAGAAUACAACCAUGGAAUAAUAGGAGACUUCAACUUCUUACAAUCAUUUCGCAACGUACAAUUUUCAAGAUAAGGAAACCCCGUUGAUGUCUUCAUCAUUAAAAGACUUUAUUGCUUCACGCAUUUGUUAUUUAUCUUUGAUAAUGCAAGAUAUUUCUGAAAGUAUGACCGAUUUAAAUCAAACCACUCAUGAAUUGGUUAUGAACUUUGAUUCACUACACAUACAAUUAUUUAAUGAAAAUUUCACAUUUAACGGACUUGUGUUAUACAAUGCUUGCCAGGCUUAAUGCUGAUACUGUCAUUUAAAGGAAGUGUAUUAUAUUUAAGUGUGGUUGUUUAUACAUUUCCAUUACACAGAAGUGUGCAUUUUUUGUGUUAUGAUUCAGAUUGUAAAUGUGGAAUUCAU